AUUGAACGCUGGCGGCAGGCCUAACACAUGCAAGUCGAGCGGAUGAAGGGUGCUUGCUCCUGGUUUCCGCGUCGGACGGGUGUGUAAUGCCUAGGAAUCUCCCUGGUAGUGCGUUAUAAUGUCUUCAAACGGGUGCUACUACCACCUACUUCCUGCGGCAGCUAGUUGGGGAUCUUCGGACCUUAUCCUCUCAUAUGAAUCUAGGCCGGUUUAGCUAGUUUGUGGGGUAAGGACUUACCUAGCCGACGAUCCGUAACUAGUCUGAGAGGAUGAUCAGUCACACGGGAACUGGGACACGGACAAGAGGCCUAAGAGAGGCAGCAGUGGGGAAUAUGGGACAAUGGGCGAAAGCCUGAUACAGCCAGGGCGAGUGUGUGAAGAAAGUCUUGGGAUUGUAAAGAACGUUAAGGUGGGAGAAAGGGCAGUAAGUUAAGACCAAGCUGUAGUGACGUUACCAACAGAAUAAGCACCGGCUAACUACGUG
Molecule: ribosomal RNA, 484 nt
Filed under: uncultured bacterium
Lineage: Bacteria
Description: partial 16S ribosomal RNA
Rfam family: Bacterial small subunit ribosomal RNA
Source: RNAcentral